AACAAACCUGACAAUAUCGGUAUCUUGCCUUCUUAGUUUCUAGCAGCACCAGCCACCACUGGACUAUGGUUACAGCACUUGGAUCGGGAUGAUUUUCACAGACCACUACCACAACAACCCUGUCAUGGUGUGUUUCUGCCAUCUUCUCCUGGAGAGACAACAGAGGACCACAGAGGCAGAAUCGUACUCCACGUUCCACAACACACCUUCGCCAGAUUCAGCCCGUGGAAGCAGGGCCAGGCGGUGAUGGAUGCUCCUCUACACCCUGAUGAAGAACCCACGACUGAUCCUCCUGAGGAAGAACAGGACCUCCUCCAGUCCCACUCACCAGGACACUGUUGUCCAAGCCUGGCUGCUGGCCUCUCAGACCGAACAGAUGGGACAGGCACCAGAGACGACAGCCACAGCCGUUACAUCAGAUCAGACGACGGCCAAUGGGCAGGCAUUAACUGACUGAUUCUGCUCAUGGCUUAUACAUGCGCAGCCUGAAAUAGUGUAGUACAAUAAUGUGACAUAACAUUUAGUAGGCCUACACACAUUUCGAGGACACCUUUUUGGCUCAUGGGUGCUACAUUUGAUACUACAGGCCAAGCUCUUACAAUGCAUUGUUUUGUAUGUGAUGAAUCAUGGGAAAUGGGGAUAACAACUGAAAUGUGUCUUCUGCAUUUAACCCAACCCCUCUGAAUCAGAGAGGUGCCGGGGGCUGGCUUAAUUGACAUCUACAUCUUUGGCACCCAGAGAACAGUGGGUUAACUGCCUUGCUUAGGGGCAGAACAACAGAUUCUUACCUUGUCAGCUCGGGGAUUCUAUCCAGCAAACUUUUGGUUACUGGGCCAAUGUUCUAACCAUUAGGCUAAUAUGAUUAAUGCAUUAUAAAUUCGGAAAUACCUACAUAAUUACUCCUACUGGGAAAAAUGAUAGGACAAAUUGGACAUAGUUAUGCUUUUUACCUCAUAACGGUCCAUUUGUUUUUACUAGGCCACGUAGCCACAGGAAGUAGAGGUGCUGAGGGUGUUGCAGCACUCUAAAAAAUCUGAAUAAAAAAUAUACAGUACCAGUCAAAAGUUUGGACACACCUACUCCAACCUCGGCCAACAGCUCCGCCCCCCCGGCAGCUCCUCGCCCAAGCCUCUCCAGGUUCUCCUUUACCCAAAUCCAG
Oncorhynchus tshawytscha (Chinook salmon) is the source of this 1159-nucleotide long non-coding RNA. The record is from Ensembl. Lineage: Eukaryota; Metazoa; Chordata; Actinopteri; Salmoniformes; Salmonidae.